Oncorhynchus kisutch (coho salmon) is the source of this 333-nucleotide long non-coding RNA. RefSeq lists it as uncharacterized. NCBI's taxonomy places the organism in Eukaryota, Metazoa, Chordata, Actinopteri, Salmoniformes, Salmonidae. The record is from RefSeq and is a predicted model, not a curated record. The transcript has 3 exons.
GCCAAGGAAGGCACUGAGCCCCAAGCUGUCCCCACAAACCCAAGUGCUUGAAAUGCCCUCCUCUACCUCAUACUAUUCCUCAACAACGUCAUAAUUGACAGACGUGAGUUGGUGUCUUCCAAAGGUGGAGAAGAAGUGACCUGGCAGAAGAUGGUGAAACUUUCUAAUGGUUGGAACCAACAUGCAGUACCUCCAGCAGGCAGAGAGGCAUGAACCGUUUUUUCGCCAGCUCAGGGACAAGCUACACUAUUCACAACCCUGUGUAAUGUUCAAUGUAAUUGCAUUGCUGGACUUUUGGGGUAUUAAUGGAAGGGGUUUAAAAUGUAAAAAUAA